GGAAUAGUUUGGAGCUAGGUGAAUCAGAUUGGGUGAAGUAGACUUGUUAAAUCUUAUUGAAUAAGUCGAGCUGGACAAUCUCAGUUGAAGUUCAUGAGGUCCACAUGUUGGUCUUAAUUCAUUAGAGAGAGUUGGCUUUUCAAUUGAAGACUUGUUGUUGGGUAAUGAUUACAUAUUGGUGCUUGGUAUUACCUAUGACAGCUGAGAAGGUGAUAAGCCGAAGAAAGUGAUCUGCCAAAUUUGCAGAAUGUGCAGUUGGUUUUUGGGAAGUAAACAUUUGAGGUUUGGUGGGAUGGUCAAGCAGCAGCCUUUUUGUCAUCCAUCUCCAUUUAGUGGCAAGAGUUUGGGAGGAGGCCAAUGGUUGCUGUAUAGUUUUGCUUUUCCUGUGAGUUUGUGUUUUUGGGUGGUAUUUGGGAUGUGAAGUACUUGGUGACGCUAUCCUCUUAUUGACCCCUUGGAGUUUGAGGGUCAACUAAAAAAUUUGAGAUUCGUUCUCCAAAUGCAAAUUCAUUCUGUUCCUGGAGUUCCUACAAUGUUGGAUAGCACAUGUAAGCACUAAUAUCUUCUUCCAAAGAAUUGACAAUCACGUCAUUACCAUAGAUAUUUCAACAUCUCAUACUGCAUAGGCUGGAUCAUUCUCGGUAGGGCUUGUUUUUUUGUCUGUAAAAUAACCCAUCUUCCCACGGCCCCAAAUGUACAUACAAACCACUUGAGACCAUCUUAAGAACUUGUUACCAUUCAAGCAAAUAGUGAUGAUUUGAACAGAGUGAGACUCAGAGUUGGGUCGGAGUUUAUUAUCUUUUGACAAGGUUGCAGCAAGGGAGGAUAGUGAUGCAGUGGCUGAUUUGGAGGAAAUGUUAGACAUAGUGCUUUUGAGGAUUGCUACAGUUGGGAAAGCAGGGAGAAAACAAGGGAAUGAGUAGAGAACAGAGAAGGGGGAAAAGAAAAAGAAAAGAACAGGGGUGAUAGAGAAGAGAGGGAUUGGGAAAUAAGGGCAGGAGCAGAGGAAAAAAUCAGCUAGUAAUUGAUAGCUCUUGUACCGUCUAGAUUGAGAGAAUGUGGGGGGUAGUUUCUCUGUUAUUAGGCUUCUCUAACAAUACUUAACACAUUGUCAAUUAUAGAAGAUACAAGAAGUUAAACUAGGAAAGAGAAUAUAUUUGCUUUAAGAGCAUUCCUAACAUAAACUAUCUAAAGAUACAAUAGUUGACUAAUAAUAUUUGCAGCUAAUAUCCUAUUGAGAGUUGUGGAAUAAAAGACCACAAUCUUAUAUUUUCUGACAAUUUUUUUUGUUGAGAUAAAAAGAAGUAUAUUGUGUAUAAGGCACGAAGGGGGUGCUGCCCCUAUACAAAAAUUUACAUGUCUAAUAGAACAUCAAAAACUUUCCCAAAAUCAUCCCAUCCAUAAACAUCAUAGCUUAAGAUUAGAGAUCCAAAAGUAUGUAUCCACCUAUCCCUAAUCCUACCCAAGUUCACUAUACACCUAUCAAAAAUUCUAUUGUUCUUCUCUUUCCACACCACCCAAAAGAUAGUUAAGAGAAUUUAUUUUACAAUUUUUUUGAUUUCUUACAUAUCGCACCCCAAUCUCAAAGUUCAUUUUUCACUGUGUCCCCAAUAAUCCAAUUGAUACCCAAUAAACUAUACAUCAUAUUCCAUAUAUUCUAUGUCACUGGACACCACAGAAGAAGAUGAUUGUAAGAUUCAGCUGCUACUUUUCACAAAUAACAACUAUUAACCAUAAUGUGACCCCUUCUCGUCAACUUGCAAUAGUGAGGAUGCAUUCCCGGUCCGGUUCUCAUGCAAAAAAAGUGAUUCUCGGUGGCGCUCUCACAUCCAUAUCUGCGAAGCUGGAAAUCUCACACUAUCACCCUCAUUAUUGGCCAAAU
RNAcentral lists this long non-coding RNA (1882 nucleotides) under Carica papaya (papaya). RNAcentral's name for it is "long non-coding RNA (CPAP_LNC011442)". Lineage: Eukaryota; Viridiplantae; Streptophyta; Magnoliopsida; Brassicales; Caricaceae. The record is from RNAcentral.